Molecule: RNA transcript, 3413 nt
Organism: Myotis daubentonii (Daubenton's bat)
Lineage: Eukaryota; Metazoa; Chordata; Mammalia; Chiroptera; Vespertilionidae
Gene: CTPS1
Gene name: CTP synthase 1
Exons: 19
Source: RefSeq, a predicted model, not a curated record
CGCCUAGGGCCCGCCUCCGUGAAGGACUGCCGGGCGCAUGCGGCCGGGCUGCUUCACUGGCUGCCGGGCCCCGCACGGUCGUCGCCCUCCCCGCUCUCCGCCGCCUGGAGGAUCUGAAGCGGCCCUCAGGUCUGUUGACCAAAUGAUGUUUCUGGACCUUUGAAGCUGUGGGCCAGUGGUAAAUGCCCCCUGGUCAAAAAGUAAAAUGAAGUACAUUCUAGUUACUGGUGGUGUUAUAUCAGGAAUUGGAAAAGGAAUCAUCGCCAGCAGUGUGGGCACAAUACUGAAGUCAUGUGGUUUACAUGUAACUUCAAUUAAAAUUGACCCGUACAUUAACAUUGAUGCAGGAACAUUCUCUCCUUACGAGCAUGGUGAGGUUUUUGUACUGGAUGAUGGUGGAGAAGUUGACCUUGACCUGGGUAACUAUGAGCGUUUCCUUGACAUCCGCCUCACCAAGGAUAACAAUCUGACCACCGGGAAGAUAUACCAAUACGUCAUUAACAAGGAGCGCAAAGGGGAUUACCUGGGAAAAACCGUCCAAGUUGUCCCUCACAUCACAGAUGCAAUCCAGGAGUGGGUAAUGAGACAGGCAUUAAUACCUGUGGAUGAAGAUGGCCUGGAACCUCAAGUGUGUGUUAUCGAGCUCGGUGGAACAGUGGGAGAUAUAGAAAGCAUGCCAUUUAUUGAGGCCUUCCGUCAGUUCCAAUUCAAGGUCAAAAAAGAGAACUUUUGUAAUAUUCACGUCAGCCUAGUUCCUCAGCCAAGUUCAACAGGGGAACAGAAGACUAAACCCACCCAGAAUAGUGUUCGGGAACUCAGAGGCCUUGGGCUUUCUCCAGAUCUGGUUGUGUGCAGGUGUGCAAAUCCUCUCGACACAUCAGUGAAAGAGAAAAUAUCUAUGUUCUGCCAUGUUGAACCUGAACAGGUGAUCUGUGUCCACGAUGUCUCGUCCAUCUACCGAGUCCCCUUGUUAUUAGAGGAGCAGGGGGUUGUAGAUUAUUUUCUUCGAAGACUUGACCUUCCUAUCGAGAGGCAGCCACGAAGAAUGCUGAUGAAGUGGAAAGAGAUGGCUGACAGAUACGACCGCUUGCUGGAGACCUGCUCUAUUGCGCUUGUGGGCAAGUACACUAAGUUCUCAGACUCCUACGCUUCUGUCAUUAAAGCCCUGGAGCAUUCCGCACUGGCCAUCAACCAUAAGUUGGACAUCAAGUACAUCGAUUCCACGGACUUGGAGCCGAGCACCUUGCAGGAGGAGCCUGUGCGCUACCACGAGGCCUGGCAGAAGCUCUGCGGCGCUCACGGAGUGCUGGUUCCAGGGGGAUUUGGUGUUCGAGGGACGGAAGGGAAAAUCCAAGCUAUCUCCUGGGCUCGGAAGCAGAAGAAGCCUUUUUUGGGCGUGUGCUUAGGAAUGCAGUUGGCAGUGGUUGAAUUUUCAAGAAAUGUGCUGGGAUGGCAAGAUGCCAAUUCUACAGAGUUUAACCCCAAUACCAGUCAUCCUGUGGUCAUAGACAUGCCAGAGCACAAUCCUGGGCAGAUGGGCGGCACCAUGCGGCUGGGCAAGAGGAGAACCCUGUUUCAAACCAAGAACUCCGUCAUGAGGAAACUCUACGGAGAUUCAGAUUACUUGGAAGAGAGGCACCGCCACAGAUUUGAGGUGAAUCCAGUCUUGAAAAAGUGUUUGGAGGAGCAAGGCUUAAAGUUUGUUGGCCAAGAUGUUGGAGGAGAGAGAAUGGAAAUUGUGGAGUUGGAAGGCGAGUACUUGGGGUGCUGUAACUAAUGGAAAACGGUACGGUUUUCUUGGCACGUGGGGAAACACAAACAUGUUGGCUGCUACCCCUGACCUAACAGAAUAGGAAGCAGCACUGCCUUGGGAGGUGGGGGUCUUGGCGAUGGAGGUGCCUGGAGCCCAGGGACACGGGGCCCACGGGGCGGCUCUGCGCCAGGGCCUCCUGCAGGCAGCCAUUCCAGCUCUGGCCUCGGUGCCUCCUCCUCCCGGACGGGAGCUUGGACUCGGUCCUUGGGCCCCCUCUAAUCUAAUGUGACCUGCGACUCAACCCUUCAGAUGUCUGGGGAGCCAGGGACAGGACCUGGAGAGGAGGUGCCUUCUGCCAGGAGGCUGACACGGGCAGGGGAGAGGGCAUCUGCUCCCAUGUCUUGUGGGUACUUUAACCCGGGUUCCAAUCAAGACGCUGUUUCAAAUAAUUGUAGGGUCUGUGCACAUGUGAAACAUUUAACAAGAUUUUUGUCUCUAAUACAUGUGAUGUGCACAUGCAUGAUGAAGCUGUUUCUUGCAUGUUUCUGUUUCAGAUCACCCCUUUUUUGUUGGCGUUCAGUACCACCCUGAGUUCCUGUCCAGACCCAUCAAGCCGUCCCCGCCGUACUUUGGCCUCCUCCUGGCCUCCGUGGGGCGGCUCCCGCAUUACCUCCAGAAGGGCUGCAGGCUCUCGCCCAGGGACACCUACAGUGACAGAAGCGGAAGCAGCUCCCCUGACUCCGAGAUCACCGAAUUGAAGUUUCCAUCCAUAAAUCAUGACUGAUGGUAAUGGGUGAUUCUUCAAGAGAGCCUUCAGACUUCGGGAGUUUACAGCUUGAUUUUACACUCGGCUUUUGACACUUCCUUUAAAUUAUGUUUUUAUUAAGAAUAUUUUAUUAUGGGGAAGGGUAUUGGGAAGACUGUGACCUGCAUGUCCCAUCAUGUGUAUCGGCUCCUGCACGGUGGCUGCCUGGUGUUGACACUCUCCUUUUUAGCCCCAGCCUCAGACGGGAGGCGGGACAUCCGGGCAGGAGCGGUGACAGGGCGGCUGGAGUGCCCGCCAAGCGCCUCGUUUUUGCAGCCACCUGCGUCGCUGUGGAUUUGCGUGUGUGGCCUCUCGCUUCCCCAGGGAGGCCUAGACCAUUCUCAAGAGUGCCGCAUGCGCUUGGUGCGCCCGGACGGUAACUUUAGCUAAUGCUUACACCCUUGGUGCUGGUGACCUGCGGGUGCUGCCAAGAGCAGUGAAACCAGAAACGAAGCCUUGGCACUGCCCCGCCUGGGGACUCUCAGUGCCAACUGUGGCUGGGACUCGCUGUCCAAGGGACAGUCAGUUUGAUGUCACAUGAACGGCAGGAAGUCUGUGUCUCUGCAGCGUGAUUUGAGAAUCCCUGUCCUCUGGCUGGGCGUCUCCUGGGGCUGGGAAGCGCUCCUUGCAUCAAGGGGUCACUCAAAAAAGAACAGAGCCUCUAAGACCCUCUCACAUAUCAACAGCUUUGCUUGAGGGACUUCUUCCUUCGGGAUGGUGUUACUGCAGUUGAAAGGCAAUAUGAAAAUCUAUUUUCUUUACAUGACGUAACAAUGGGCACAGCUGUGUGCCCCUUAUAUUCUGGCUGGACUUGGUGUAAACUCUAACUUAAGAAAUAAAUAAUGCGGAACAAGA